UGAAAAGUUUGAGAAGAACAGAUGAUGAAUGGGAAAACAUGCAAAUACCCUGUAAGUAAGGAGAUCAGGGUGACUUUUGCUUAAUUUCAGGUGACAGCAGUUUUGCAAUGAAAAAAAUUGCAUAUUUUUCGACAUUCCUCAUGUGCAGUGACGUAGCUUCAACACCUGCAUCCAUCAAUGCCACAAAUUCUAAUUAUGUAACUGACAUUAGCAAGAUGUUCAGACAAAACAAGGAACACCCAAACAUGACUGGACAGGAUCUGCUUGAAUACUUGAAGAGCUGCAUUUAAUUGUAGCAGGCAAGACUACUUUGUUUUUUUAAAAUAUAUUUACUUGAUUACCAAAAAUUAUUUCCCAUUUACAACACCUGCUUGAACACAAAAUAUGUUCAGUGAUAUUUUAAACAUUUCUUUGUGCAUUGCUUAUUACUUGCUGGUAAUUAUGCAUUAGUCAGUGUACAAUUUCAUCGUUCUCCAGUCAAAAUA
Lacerta agilis (Sand lizard) is the source of this 485-nucleotide long non-coding RNA. RefSeq lists it as uncharacterized. Lineage: Eukaryota; Metazoa; Chordata; Lepidosauria; Squamata; Lacertidae. The transcript is spliced from 3 exons. The record is from RefSeq and is a predicted model, not a curated record.